ACACAAAAGGCAAAGCACCCUCGAAUCCACCCAAAGGGGCCGCCGCCCCGCAGGUGCACCUGUUGCGCACGCGGGGGUCGCCGGCGCUGCUCAACGGGGAGGGGAAC
RNAcentral lists this non-coding RNA (107 nucleotides) under uncultured eukaryote. The record is from RNAcentral.